Molecule: ribosomal RNA, 375 nt
Filed under: uncultured bacterium
Lineage: Bacteria
Description: bacterial SSU rRNA
Rfam family: Bacterial small subunit ribosomal RNA
Source: RNAcentral
AUACGAACUGUGCGAACGUUAUUCGGAAUCACUGGGCUUAAAGGGUGCGUAGGCGGUUUUCUAAGUCACGUGUGAAAUCUUCCGGCUCAACCGGAAAACUGCGCGUGAUACUGGAUAACUUGAGUGAGGUAGGGGUGUGUGGAACUUCCGGUGGAGCGGUGAAAUGUGUAGAGAUCGGAAGGAACGCCAGCAGCGAAAGCGGCACACUGGGCCUUUUCUGACGCUGAGGCACGAAAGCUAGGGGAGUGAACGGGAUUAGAUACCCCGGUAAUCCUAGCCGUAAACACUGAACACUGGAGGACGGGGGCUUCGGCCUUCGUUCUCGUAGCGAAAGCGUUAAGUGUUCCGCCUGGGGAGUAUGGUCGCAAGGCUGAA